GGGCCCGCACAAGCAGCGGAGCAUGUGGUUUAAUUCGAAGCAACGCGAAGAACCUUACCAGGGCUUGACAUCCCACUGACAGGUAUAGAGAUAUACCCUUUCUUCGGGACAGUGGAGACAGGUGGUGCAUGGUUGUCGUCAGCUCGUGUCGUGAGAUGUUGGGUUAAGUCCCGCAACGAGCGCAACCCUUAUCUUCAGUUGCCAGCAGGUUAGGCUGGGCACUCUGGAGAGACUGCCGGGGACAACUCGGAGGAAGGUGGGGAUGACGUCAAAUCAUCAUGCCCCUUAUGUCCUGGGCUACACACGUGCUACAAUGGCCUGAAACAAAGGGAAGCGAAGGCGCAAGCCGGAGCGAACCCCGGAAACCAGGUCCCAGUUCGGAUUGUGGGCUGCAACCCGCCCACAUGAAGUCGGAGUUGCUAGUAAUCGCGAAUCAGCAUGUCGCGGUGAAUGCGUUCCCGGGCCUU
Molecule: ribosomal RNA, 467 nt
Filed under: uncultured bacterium
Lineage: Bacteria
Description: bacterial SSU rRNA
Rfam family: Bacterial small subunit ribosomal RNA
Source: RNAcentral